This 14694-nucleotide long non-coding RNA is filed under the name Solanum lycopersicum (tomato). Its description in RNAcentral is "long non-coding RNA (SLYC_LNC000583)". The record is from RNAcentral. Lineage: Eukaryota; Viridiplantae; Streptophyta; Magnoliopsida; Solanales; Solanaceae.
UGUAAGUUGUUCUGCUGGAAAUAGUGGUCCAUCCUUUAUCACAGCAGUAAACACCGCCCCUUGGAUUCUUACGGUAGGUGCCAGCACGCUUGACAGAAAGAUAAAAGCUACUGUUAAGCUUGGAAAUGGAGAGGAAUUUGAAGGAGAAUCUGCUUAUCGUCCAAAGAUUUCCAACGCAACAUUCUUCACUCUAUUUGAUGCUGCAAAAAAUGCAAAAGAUCCAUCCGAAACCCCUUAUUGCAGACGAGGUUCACUCACUGACCCUGCUAUAAGAGGAAAGAUAGUAUUAUGUUCAGCACUCGGCCAUGUAGCCAAUGUUGAUAAAGGACAAGCUGUGAAGGAUGCUGGAGGUGUUGGCAUGAUUAUCAUCAACCCAUCACAAUAUGGUGUCACUAAAUCAGCUGAUGCUCAUGUUCUUCCAGCAUUGGUUGUUUCAGCUGCAGACGGAACAAAAAUUCUUGCUUACAUGAACUCAACAUCAAGCCCUGUUGCUACAAUUGCAUUCCAAGGAACAAUAAUUGGAGACAAAAAUGCUCCUAUGGUUGCUGCAUUUUCCUCAAGAGGACCAAGUAGAGCUAGUCCUGGAAUCUUGAAGCCUGACAUAAUCGGUCCUGGUGCUAAUAUCCUUGCUGCUUGGCCUACCUCCGUGGAUGACAACAAGAACACCAAAUCCACAUUCAAUAUCAUAUCAGGCACCUCAAUGUCUUGCCCUCACCUUAGUGGCGUAGCAGCUCUGCUGAAAUGCACACAUCCUGAUUGGUCUCCUGCUGUUAUUAAGUCUGCAAUGAUGACAACGGCUGACACGUUAAACCUUGCUAAUAGUCCAAUACUCGAUGAAAGGCUCCUUCCUGCUGACAUCUAUGCAAUUGGUGCAGGACAUGUUAAUCCAUCAAGGGCAAAUGAUCCAGGACUAGUUUAUGAUACACCAUUCGAGGACUAUGUACCUUAUUUAUGUGGUUUGAAGUACACAGAUCAACAGGUAGGUAACCUGAUACAACGCAGGGUGAAUUGCUCGGAGGUGAAAAGUAUCCUUGAAGCACAAUUAAACUAUCCUUCGUUUUCCAUAUUUGGACUUGGAUCAACUCCUCAGACAUAUACCAGAACUGUAACCAAUGUUGGUGAUGCUACAUCAUCUUACAAAGUGGAGGUAGCUUCACCAGAAGGCGUUGCCAUCGAAGUUGAACCCUCCGAGCUAAAUUUCUCCGAGUUGAACCAGAAGUUGACAUACCAAGUGACAUUUUCCAAGACAACUAAUAGCUCAAACCCUGAGGUUAUUGAGGGAUUCUUGAAGUGGACUUCUAAUAGGCACUCAGUGAGAAGUCCAAUUGCAGUUGUGUCUGCCUAGUCAAAAAUUGGCUAUAUAAGUGCAUUAAGUACUCGGACAUUUGAAAAUGCUGUUUGUUUAUAUGUUACUUUUUAAUAUUAUAUUAUUAAAUGUAUUGUUUCAAUAAACUUUAUGUUCACAGUUGUUUGAAGAAUGCAAAAGCAUAUCCUCUUUGAUGUUAGUGUCCAUGCACUGCUCAACUUUUCUUCUUGAUUUCAUUGAUAAUAAAUAUUACUUGAGUGAUUAUGUAAGAUUUUCACUCCAUACUUAAAUUUGGGAAAUUUGCUGUCACCCUUUGAUCCAGAAUCUUGACAGUGACUUCAAAAAUAAAGUCUUAGUCUUCGGUGACUUCAAAAAGUAAUUGGGACGUUGAUGCUUUAACUAUAUUAGUAAGACAAGAAAAGUAAUAGAGACAUAUACUAUGAAUUUCCAAGAAAAAACGUUGUAAUUAAUUCGAACGAACUUAAAUUUUUUAACAUAUUGUGGCCAAAUGAGAAAUCUAUAGCCAACUAUACAUGUCAAGUCCAAAUUCUACCAUUGAAGGGGACCAAUGUACAUCAUCCAUGGUACAUAAUUUAUCUUCCAAAGAAAUUAAAUUAACCAAUACAUAUUUGGUUUUGUAAUAAUUUUCACAAAAAAACAAGAAUUACAGAAUGCAUUGUUGCUAUUUGUGUGUGGCCCAUCAUGUAUUGGUAGCAUUUUUUUACUAGUUAAUAGAGUAAGGAUUGUCCAAAUUCGUAUAAAGAUAUCAUCAUUCUUAAUUAGCUCCUUUCUGCAUGCCCGGUGAAAUGGAAUGAAUCAAGAAUUAGGACGACGUAUAUAACUCUAAUAUAAUAAGAAAUGAAUUUGCCCUACCUAAACCCUUACAACUAGUAAAUAGAGUAAGGAUUGUUCAAAUCCGUAUAAAGAGAUAUUCGCAUUCUUAAUUAUCCGUAUAUGAUGUAUAGCUAUGUAUCAGACAUGUAUAAAUAUUCAUAUAUCUCUGUUUGUACAUGCAUUGUAUCUGUUCAUCUUCCUUAACAAUGUGUUUUCUUGAAUCUCAACCAACUCAAAUCUUCUCUAAACACUCCGAAUGGUUUUGUUGUUGCCUAGCUCUUAUUGAAUUGUAUAUCUUUUGCAUAUAAGAAAAAGAUUUGAUUAUGAUAUAGGGACUCAACACUUCACGAUAGCGAAUAAUUUUAUAUGUAUCCUGCCCUAAAAGAAAGAAAAAACAAAAAAACUUUACUCGCCUCUCCUAUUUUACUCGCCUCUCUCCUCUCUCGCUCAUCCCUCUCCUUGUAUCCGGUAUAUAUAUGUUUUUGGUGUGAUUCUCAUAAUGUAUAUGGGGAUGAUUCACAUAUACCACAAUUGAAGGAGAUCAAUCUACAUCAUCCAUAAUUCACGUUUUGUCUUGCAAGUAAAUUAAAGUAACCAACUUUAGUUUUGUUAUUAAUCACACUUAGUGGCAUUUCUUUUGCUAUCUCUUUUAAUAUUCUUGUCCACAUUAUUCUUUUUUUCCCUCUAGCUAAAAUAGAGUGAUGAACAAUUAGGCAUUAUAAAUAGAGAAUUUGCUUUUAGUAGAUCAAAUUGUGAUUUAUUUUUUGAUUUUUGGUUGCUUUCAUUGAAUCUUUUAAUGUAUUUAGUUGAUUUUAAUUCUUAAAUUAAUGUAUACUUGAUUUGUUUCACCUUUACAAUUCAUUACAAUUUUAUCGUGUAUAAUAUAUUCUUUUCAAAUAUUAACUUUUAUACAUAAUCCUAAUUUAUUGUACACAAAUUAGUAUAUAUCGUGUUACUAGUUAUGUAUUGGAUAUACAAAUAUUACAAAUUUCAUUUUCUUUUACUACCAAUACAUACACCCAACUUUAUUCAACUAGUAGAAGACUAUUAUUUCUAGGGAAAAGGGUCCGAUAUACCCUCAACUUUAUCAUUUAGAGCUCAUAUACCCCUUGUUAUGAAAUUGACUCAUAUAUACUCCUACUUGUAAACAAAUGGCUCAAAUAUAUCCUUUUCCUUUAACGGAAAUGAAAAAAAAAUAAUUUUAAUCUAAAUUUUUAUUAUUUUUUUUCUAAAAAAAUAUAAUCCCAUAUAAGUAAAUUUAAUGCUCGUCAAAUAUAUUUUUUUGACUUUUUUUUGUUUCAAUGACUAAUUUAUAAUUAUUCUUUUGAUAAUCAAAUUUAUUUAUGUUUCAUUAAUAUUCUUGUAAAACUUAUUGUAGAUGACCAAAUUUUUUCUUCGAAUACGAAAUUAAAUUACAAAACACACAAAAAAAAUAGUUUAAUUUUUUAUUCUUUAAACUAAGGAAUGAAAGAAAAAGCAAAAUAAGAAUAAGAAAUUCAAAUAAUUAUAAUAAAAGAAGUCAAAAAAUAAUUUAUGUAUGAAAAAAAUUAAAAUAUACUUUGAACUUUGAUAGAAGAAUCAUAUAUACCCCUAAAUUUUUUUUUAAAAAAAAAUUAGAAGUAAUAAAUAUAAAUUUAAAACUAAUUUUUUUAAAUUCGUUAAAUGAAGGGUAUAUGUGAGCCAUUUCGUAAUGGCAGGGGUAUAUGUGAGCCAUUUGUAUAACGGUAUGGGCAUAUAUGAGCCACUUUUAUAACGAGGGGUAUAUCAGCUCCAAAUGACAAAGUUGAGAGGUAUAUCAGACCUUUUUCCCUUAUUUCUAAAAUGAAAGUCUAGAGUUCGCUUGAAUUGACUUAAAAGUUGAUCAAAUCUACUUUUAAAGUCCUGUUUUAUUUUUUAUUUUUGAGAGUUUUGACAAAGCAGAAAAUAACUUAUAAUAAGUUAGAGAUGACUUUAAAAAAAAGUUAAAAAUUACAAGUAGCUACUUCCUUACUUUUCAUUUUUUAACUUAAAAGUUACUAAAGUUUAACUUUUAAAAAAAUAAGGAAAAAAGUCUGAAAUAUAUAUCAACUUUGACCGAAAUUAUAUUAACGAUAUCAAACUUUGGAAAUGACCUUUUACCCCUGUACUAUUUAAUAGUGUAUUUUAAAGGUAUAUAUGUAUCCACGUGAACAUCACAAAUAUUCCAUCAUUAAAAAUAGAAAGUCAUCAUAAAAUUUGAUAUGUAACAAUAAUUUCGACCAAAAUUGAGAUAUUUUUCAGACCCUUUUUUCAAAAAAUACUUUUUAUGACAAGAAAGUACCUGGGAUGUUGAGUCGUUGACGCUAAACUUAUUAUUAAUAUGACAAGAAAAAAUAGUCCUAUGAGUUUCCUGGAAAAUACAUUGUAAUUAAUUCACAUGGGCACUUUUUAUUUUUUUUUAAACAUAUUGUGGCCAACUGAGAAAUUAUAGUUAGGAUUUUAAAUUGGAUUUUUAUUUCAUAUAUCCAUUUAAAAAUAAUUCAAUAUACUCCAUAACUAUAAUUUGAUAAUUACGAUUUGUAGCUAUAUAUAAGAGGGAGGAGAGAGGCGAGCGAGUGAGAUUGGGAGAGGGAGGAGAGAGACGAAUUGUAUAGGUCUAUCUAUCGAACUGUAUAAGUCUAUCUAUUAAAUAAUUAUAUAUUUAUAGCUGGUAUACGCAUGUACUUGUAUAUCUGGUGAGCGAGAUUGGGAGAGAGGCAAGUGAUAGAGGGUAGAGAGUGGAGAGAGACGAACUGUAUCUGUAUAGCUGUCAGAGGCAGAGAAUGGAGAGAGACUAACUGUAUUUGUAUAAUUGUAAUUAUUGUAUAUAUAUAUAUAUAUAUAUAUAUACUAGUUUUCGAAACGUGCGUUGCACGUUUGCCUUAUACAAUUAUUAUAAAGUUGAAUUAUUAUAUAAUGUUGAAAUUAGAAAUAUUAGUUUUACCAAUUUAUAUUUUAUUUAUUAAAUAAAAUUCAUAAUAAUCGAAUAGUACAUUGACCAUCAAACAAGAAUUUUUUUAAAAAUAAAUAUAUUAUUAUAGCAUCUAAUAAUAUGAAUAUAUCUGUAUAACUUAUUCUUAAUAAUCUCUCAUUACUCUCCAUAUUAGUAAGUACACAAAUGUGUAGCUACUUAAAGAAACUAUAUUAGUAAGGAAAGACAAAAGUAAAUAAAUAUUAUAAAAGUAUAUUUAAAAAUGAAUCUAAAUGUCAUAAAUUAGUAAUUUCAGCACUAAUAAAAAUAGCUUAUAACAUUCAUAAUUUCAUAGAAGAUUAUAUUAAAGAAGUAUAAUCGGUAAAGAAUACAAAAAAAAUUAAACAAAUAAGAAUAAAUACAACAUUUAUAUCCUUCUUAAGACUUUUAAUAUAACAAUAUAUAUAGUAAAAGAAAUACACAAGGAGUAAAAAAAUUUUCUCCCGUAACAAAAAAAAAACAAUCUAAAAUAGUAAAGAUAAAAUUUAUGAUUCAAAAUAUCAUUCUAAUGAGGAUCAAUAAAUAUUAAUAUUUCAAAACAAAAAAAAAGUACCUGUAAAUUGCAUAAUAAUUCACAUCAACACGAGGCAAAUGGUAAAGAGCAAUUAUUUUUAAAUGAUACAUAUAUAUAGCUAAAGAUUUAUUGGAUAAGAUGAAAAGGUGAAAAGUUGUUUAAGUUAAUUUUAGAAGUUGAAUGAUCUUACACAUGCGGUAGAGGAAAGGUGAUUGUUUUUACUAAUAAUUCAAUACAUUUAAUUAUACUAAUUACAGAGAGAGGAUAACAAAUUUAAUCAUUUAACCACAUUAAUUAUAGAGAAAGAAUUAAUAACUUUUAUUUAUUUUUUUUAAAAAGUAAUUCCUAACAAUUUUCUAUGAAAUAAUUUCUAACAAUUUUCUAUAAAAUAUUUUUGUCUUUCAAAGUUUGACUUUACACCUUCUUAGUUUUAGUAUAAUAUAAUUAUUACUUAGUAUGUAAAUAAUUAGAAUUUAAACUAUUGUGUCUAGAUGCAUGUAUUUAAAUAUGAUUAUAUAAUAUUAAAUUAAUUAUAUAUUAAUAUUUAAUUUAAUUUAGGGAUAAAAUAAGGACAAAAUGGUAAUUCAACUUUUAAGUUAAGAGCUUCCCACUUAUAAUAAUAAGAGUAUAUGUUAUAUCAUAAAAAAAAUCAUCUAGCAGACUAAGUACAAAUAUGUCAUAAAUAUUUUCUUGGAUAGCUUAAUAUAUAGAGGUUGUGAAUAUAAUCGAAGACAUCUAUAAUCUUUUUCAACACAUCGCAUUAGUACCAAUUUAUACUCUAUCAAUAGUUAUUUCUCCAAACUCAAAAGAGAAUUAAAAAAAAUUAUAAAAAUAUUGAACCAAUGAUUUCUAUAAUCUGGCCAUGAACAAAAUUACACUAAUAACUUAUCUUUUAAGUCUAGCAGGGCACUCUUAUAAUCAAAGGUUCUGAUACCAUCAUUCUGCUAUCGAAAAAGAAAAGCAUAUCAAAGAAAACAUAAGAAUUUUCAGAAUGUUCAUUGAUGUAUUUUUUUUUUGUACCCACAAAAUAAGAAUAUGCAAAAAUGAAACAAAAAGAAAAGAAAUAAUACAUACUUACUGGAGUAUCUCCGAUGAACAUAUGAAAUUAGGAAGAUGGUAGAUUAGAUUUUUGAAUGAUUAACAUAGAAUACACACAAUAUAUUAUAGUAAAUGAGACUCUUUGUUUCCCUUGUCUGUUAUGCCUUUUCAGUUGCAUCAUUUAAAUAUGUCUUCAUUAUUAUAUGAUAGAAUUACUGAAGGCUGAAACUAAUAAUUAUAUAUGGUAAUUAAGAUACUAUAAAUUAAAAGUUUUAUAUUUAAUAUUAAAAAAUAACUCCAAGAAAUUGAACAAAUUACAAAAAAAAAAAUCUCAUUAAAAUAUUUUUCUCACCUAUUAAAGCAUCAAAUUAGAAUUAAGGAAACAUAAAUCAACACAUAUAAACAAAUUAACAAUUAAUUAAUUUAUAAAUAGUCUAAGAGAUAAACUUCAAAAAAUUUAAACUAUUUAAAAAAAAUAAUAACAGGAAAACGUGUCUUUAAGAUAAUUAAACUUUAUUAUAUACUAAUAUUUUACUAAUAACCAAUUAGAUGAUUUUUACUAUUUCAAUGCAAGGACAAGGGUAAGACUUUUCAAAUUUAAAAAUUAAGAGUAAUUAAGUUAAAGACUAUAAAAUAAUUAGCAAUUUAUUUACUAAUAUUUAGUUACUUUGAUUAAGAUUUAGUAUAGGGGCAAAAUAGUAAUUCAACGUUUGCUUAACAUUCUUCCCACUUAUUCACAUUACAUGUUUAUUUUUGCAUGUCUGCUUAACGUCUGAAGCAGGAUCAGUAAGCAAAUCAUAACUCUUGUAAAUUUUAUUGCCUUUAUUCUUCACUUCUUUAGUAAGUGAAACAUGUACAAUCUUACACAAAUUCGUGUUAUUUACUUUCAAGUUGCAGAGUAGGAAAUUACCUUGGAUCUAAAAGAAAUUCCGUUGGAAUAUAAUUGAUUCCUACUCUCAAAUCUGUUGCAGCACCAAGUUCAAUUAUUUUGAACGCGCAACAACCUGCUUCAGAGAGACAUUAAUUACAACUUACAAGUACGCAAUCAAACUCAACCAUUGUGAAUCAGGUCAGCACUUUGUUUUUUAAAUAAUAUGUAUAUCCAUACGCCUAUGCAGUUUAUGACAGAGCACUUUCAGUUGCUGAUCUAAAACCUUGGUAGGAUCAAUCUGAACCUCAAGGUUUACUCAUUUUUUCCCCUUGAUUUGUUGACUUUCAACGUUUAAUUCUUUGUUCGAUGUUAAUUUUUACACAUAUUAGUACACACACAUACUGUUGAAUAGUACAAUAGAAUGUAGGAUUUUCAACAUAGUUUAACUGUCCUUCAAUGUCUUUAACUCCUGCUGUUGUUCUUUGUUAAUGAUCAUAAAAAUUCCGAAAUCACAUUAAGCCAUAUUAUAAUGAAGAGACAGAAUGUGUUUUGGAGAACCAAAACACAAAAAUGAUUGAAAAGAGCAACAGAAUAGAGAAUUGACUCAAACUCUUCUUCUACUGCUUCUUUGUUCCCUAAAACAAACAAAAAAAAACAGAACUGUCAACAACUCCAUUGCACAAUUGCUUUGUGAAAACUCGAAUACUGGCCUCCAUCUCAUUCAUAAAAAGUUUAUAUUUGCAAUUAGCAGCAAAACAGAGCAAAACCAAAGCAUUAACAUCAAAAAUUGACUGUAACUAUUAGGCAACAAAAACAAAGCACCAAAAAUAUUUACCUGUAUACUGACACGCCUUCUCUCGCCACUUCGAAGACCUUUCAUGCAGCGAUGUCCACCAAACUCCUUUUCUGACAAAGAAAACCAGGAAGCUGAAGCAAUGCUGAGUAGUAGAGGUAUUCACGGACUGUCAAUGUUCCAAUAAGAGUAGUUUCUCUGUCAACAAAUCCCAGCAGCCAAAAAGUUCCAUAUCAAAAGGCAGAGCUCAUGAUAAAGAAUAGCUAAGUUCCUCAUCCAAAAAUAUUUACCUGUAUAUCAUCCAGACACAAAAAGAGAAACAAUUUAAUGGACAAUAACAUGUGAUUUGAGACAUUUAUACAGAUGAUGAGAGUAGCUAAAAAGGUUUUGGAAGAAGAUGAUGAAACUUCAUAAUCGUCAGAAGAGAAGUGGAGCAGAUGACCGUUUCUGAAUAAUUAAAUUAGGCUGUUAGGAAAUUAAAUUUAUAAUAAUCAAUAUUAAUAGGUUUAACUAAUAUAGGGUUAAUAGGUUUAACUAAUAUAUUUAAUAAAUUAAUAUAUAAAUGAUAUUGUAGGGUUAAAAUGGUAAAUCAACUUUGGAGUUAAGAGGUUCAUGCUUACAAUAAUACUAGUUUCCGAAAACGUGCGUUGCACGUUUAUCCUAAAAUACUUCGUACAAUGUUUGUAGUGCAAAUAAUAAAUUUAAACAAUAUAUAUAUAUAUAUAUAUAUAUAUAUAUAUAUAUAUAUAUAUAUAUCAAGAAUUAACUAUUAUGCAUUUCAAUCACAUUUGUUACCGACCCAAAGGUAUAUAUGUACAUUUCACAAAUUUCGUCAAUAAUUCAUUUCCUCGUAAAUUUAAAAAAUAAUGAAGUUACAGUGGUUCAUCAACUUAUAAGACACCAUUGGUUCUCUUCAUCUUCAUUUUUAUUCUCUUCAUGUUCAUUUUUUUCUUUCUUUAAUUUUUUUGUUAGUGAGUUGGAUUCACUUGUACAGAAUCACAUCAACUUUUUAUCUUGUAGGAUAUUUAUUGAUUGUCAUGGAUGUAGUGAUAAAGCUAGAAGUCUUUCUUCUUGUCCUUGUGUAAAAGAUUUUUUUUUGGAUAAUCCAAUUAAGUGUACCGUCUCAACUUCUAUAAAAUAAUUUUUAUUUAAAAAUCAAACCAAAAUUUUAUUAAGAACAUAUCAACUUACACAAAAAUAAUUAAUUGCAUAUAAGGAACAAUAAUUUAUUACCUGAAAAUUGAUACCACUUGAAAUAGUUCAAUCUGUGUUGCUUCACUUACUGCAUCAUCACUAUGAAAUAUUAGCGUCAUUUCUUAAUUGUAUCUUCAUAAAAAAAAAGUCAAUUUAAAAAAUUUAUUAGUAGUUGAAAUAUUCAACAAUUUAGAUGAGUUCAAAUAAAGAUAAAUAAAACAUUGAGCAUAACAAACUCAUAUAAAAAAAAUAAAUAAAGAUAACAUGAUUACAUGAGAAAGUAUAAUAUAUAAUAUAGGAAAUGGAGAAUCUGCUAAUAGAAGAUAAAAACGUUACAAAUUAAGUGAUCCAAGAAGUGACAUUUUGAUAUCUUUAGACUAACUGGCUAACACCUUAAUAUGAGUUUUCUUUUUUUUAAAUAAUAACAAUGGUUUAAAGAGCAUAAUAAAAGUAGGUAACUUAAAAGGAUAAAUCAUUAUUGCUUUAUUUUUUAAAUUAUUAAUUCCAAUGCAUGUAUACUUUUUUAUCUAGUAAAAUUUUAUCUAGAAAUUAAUUAUGAAUGCUUUCGCUCUUCCACCUUCCGAGGAUAUUAAAUGGUUUUUAGUGCAUUCAGCUUAUCAAUAAUGAAGAACGAUAAAUUUGCACUUCAAAGCUGAAUUUGGUUUUUAUUAUGUUAUUAAUUUCAGUAAGUAUAAUUUAAUAAUAUCAUAUGAACUAAUAUUUAAAAAUAAUUAACUAUUAUAGGAAUACAAUGGUGAUUCAACUUUGCAUUUUGGAGCUUCACACUUAUACCCAUGAGUGUAUUAUUUCUUAAAAGAUAAUAAAAUAUAUCUAAUUGAGAUUUCUUACUUUGUUUUACUACUAAUUAUGAUACUCCAAUUUUCUGACCUUGCGUCUCAUGUUAGUCUAUGUUGACUCAUUUGAAUAUAUAUAUAUAUAUAUAUAUAAACCUAAAAAAAUUUAACAAGUUAAGUUAGGCUUGCACAAUGUUUAGAGUGUUUAUUGUUUGUAUUUUAAAGAACAAAUAUGUGCUAUAUGUAACAAAUAUUAUGAUAUUUUAUAUUUAAUAUAAUAUUUAUUACGAUUAUAAUUAUAUUUAAUUUUAUCUUUCAUAAAAUUAUAAUAUUAGUAUGCAAUAAAAUAAUUAUUGCUUUUGAAGGCCCUCAAUAUGAUGAUGGGUUGCUAGAAAUUUGAUAUUGAAGAAUGAUAUAUAUAUACAUGUGCAUAUAAGAAUAACCUCUUCUUUAUCUAUAGUAAAUUUAUAAGUGGUUAGAUAUUUAAAAUGUGAUUUCUCGUACUCAGAUAUAAGAUAAUUUCUCAUUAUUUUAAACUGUAAUCCCCUUCUUCACUUUACAAAAUUAAAAAUCGUUUAUGAGUGACACCCCUUCAAUAUUUAUGAUGUCAUAAUGAUCCAACACUUGAAAGCGGUAAAAGUUAUUUAAAACUCUCAUCUGAGGUUGCAGAUUUGUUAAUUUGGAGAAUCAUAGUUAAAGUAUGAAUUUUUAGAAAUUGUUAGAUUAGUUUAAUUUUUAAUUAUAUUUCUAUUUUAUAAAGUUUUUAUUGAACUACUAAUAGAUAUUAAAAUUGAAACACGAUUAUCAUGUUAUGUUUUGUAAGAACUAUAUUUAAUCAAAUUAAAUAAUUAAAAAAUUCUUUAUAAUGAGAUUUAAGAAUAAUAGAAAAUUUCAAAUUGCGCUUUAAAAAAAUAGUUCUUAAUCAUGAGCACAAGCUUAUUAUUUAAAUCACAAAAGACGAUUUUCUCAUUGCCUAAUUAAUAAUUGAUUCCUCAAAUAGAAACUAAAACACAUUAUACAAUCUACAAGUAAUAAUUUUCUUUAAAAUGAAAAUUGUCAGACCAAAAAUAAUAUAACAUGCAACCAAAGCUAAACAAAAUUAAUUAGCAUUGCAUCAAACGGUUGGUUAAAUGUGAUUUAUACUCCUAGCGAUAUAUUAUGUUAACAGUUGAGUAUAUAUAUUAGAUCAAAACAUCUUCAAUUACAAACUUCGAUUGCAAUUUCUUAAUAAUUUUCUUUUGAUCUCAUGACAUGUUAAAAACAACAGAAGAAAAUGAUAUUUAAUAUGAUAACAAUGAAUUUUUUUAAAUAAGAGUAAUUAUACAAAAAAAAAAUUCAUCUAAAGCAUGAAUAUAAUACGGAAAUUAAAAUUGAUUUCAACCUUCGGGAAGACUUGAACAUCCCUUCUGUCGUUGUAAACUCCAUUAGAAGAUCUAACAAUUUGUACACAUUUCUUUUCUAUAAACAACAAAUGAAGAUAAGGAAAAUUAGUAAUCAGUGUUAUGAACAGAAGCUAAAAGUGACUUAAAUAUAUACUAAAGGAUAAAAACAAUAGAAAUAUAGAAUUUUUUUUUUAAUUUCUUCCAAACUGUACCUAAAUAUCUUCAAAGUGUAUAGAUUGUUGUGUCAAAUACCGCAAUUUAUAGGACAUCAUUGAGUAAAAUCAAAAGUCUCAUAAUUAUGCCAUCAACUUCUUGAGAGUGUGGAAAGAUUAUGAAGGUGUGAAUAUUAAUGAUGAGAUAGUGAAGGUGUGGUAUUAAUACACAUUAUGACAAAAUUAAACCUAAAACUGAUCAGAUAGAGAAAUGAAAAGUUUCUCUAAUACAUUUACGUAAUAACUUUAUAAUUAAUUAUUUUUACAACUAUUCAUUCUCCUACUUUAUUUUAACAAUAAGUGAAUCAACUUAAUUAACAAUUUAAGCAUAUUUAAAAUUUAAUUAAUUAAUUAUUUUAUAAUAUUUUAAGUUAGUAUAAGGCUAAAAUGGUAAUUCAAGUGAAUCAACUUAAUUAACAAUUUAAGCAUAUUUAAUAUUUAAUUAAUUAAUUAUUUUAUAAUAUUUUAAUUUAAUAUAAGGUUAAAAUGGUAAUUCAACUUUUAAGUUUUGAGCUUCAUGCUUAUAAUAAUAAUAAUAAUAUAUAUAUAUAUAUAUAUAUAUAUAUAUAUAUAUAUAUAUAUGUAAUUUAUAUUUGUGUAUAUAUAAGUGACAUAAUUACAACUAAAAUUUAGCUGCAUGUCAUAAUUUAUUAGAACUAUAUUAGCUAAUUAACUAGUAUACCUUACUUAUCCGUUCCUUUUUUUUAAAAAUAAUUUGUACAUAUUUUUUUUAUUAGUUUGUUAAAGCAAAUAUACUAUUUGAACAACUAUACAUGUCAAAUGUCCACGCAAGUCCAAUCUCCAUGUAACACGUUUCGUCUUGCAAAGAAAUUAAAUUAACCUAAACUUUAGAUUUGUUUUUAUUUUUUUUUAACUCGAUCAACUCAAAUCUUCUUUGAACCUUCCAAUUUUAUAUAUGAACUCAUCUCAUAUUUCAAGUCUAUUGAUAUAUUAUACGUUCAAGAUAUUUACGUUUGUGACACAUCAAAUUUUAAAAAUUUGAGUUUCAAAGCUCUUUAUAAGUUAAAGUGCUCGGAUGGAUGACUACUAAAAUUGAUUCUUGGAAGAAGGAUCUUGAAUAGAUGCGUGUCUUUGAGAACAUGCAUUGCAAUUUCAUUUAGACAAAAUAUUUGCAACUUUUUAUUACCAAGUGAUUUUACAGUAAAAAAUUUGUAUAUGGAAAGAUGUUCUUUGUAUCCAAAUAUAAUUAAGCAAAUUUACAGAGGAUGGUCUUCUGGAAAAUCUACAAAUUUCAUAGAAUAAAGUUCAGUUUAACUAGUUUAUUCACGCCUAGUGAUUUAUAAAAAUAAACAAGUAAUUAGAGACAACUAAAAACAAUAAAAAAAUUGUAGACAAAUAGUUAGAGACAGUUAGAUUUAUUAAUUUUAACUAUGUUGUCCACAUUAUUCUUUUUCUCCACUAGCUAAAUAAAGUCAUGAGCAAAGAUGAAGUAUAAAUAGACAGUUGCAUCAAAGCAGAAAAAUUCAUCAAAUACAUUAUCACUUCAGCCAUGGGAUUCCUCAAAAUCUUUUUUGUUUUCAUCUUUUGUUCUUUCCCAUGGCCUACUAUUCAGAGUGAUUUCGAAACUUAUAUAGUCCAUGUUGAAUCCCCUGAAAGCCUAAUUACUACUCAAUCGUCGUUCAUGGAUUUAGAGAGCUAUUACCUUUCCUUUUUGCCUGAAACUAUGUCCGCAAUUAGUUCGAGUGGAAAUGAAGAGGCAGCCAGCAUUAUCUAUUCCUAUCACAAUGUGAUGACGGGGUUUGCAGCAAGAUUAACUGCAGAACAAGUGAAGGAAAUGGAGAAAAAACACGGCUUUGUCUCUGCUCAGAAACAGAGGAUUUUGUCCUUGCACACUACUCAUACUCCAAGUUUUCUUGGUUUGCAGCAGAACAAGGGUGUAUGGAAGGAUUCCAACUAUGGGAAAGGCGUGAUCAUCGGAGUUCUAGACACUGGAAUUAUUCCUGACCAUCCUUCUUUUAGCGACGUUGGGAUGCCUUCCCCGCCAGCUAAGUGGAAAGGAGUUUGUAAGUCCAAUUUCACCAACAAGUGUAACAACAAGCUCAUUGGAGCCAGGUCUUACGAACUUGGCAAUGCUUCCCCGAUAGAUAAUGAUGGACAUGGUACACACACAGCAAGCACAGCUGCGGGGGCUUUUGUGAAAGGUGCUAAUGUACAUGGCAAUGCUAAUGGAACUGCAGUUGGUGUUGCUCCUCUUGCCCAUAUAGCCAUAUAUAAGGUAUGUGGUUUCGAUGGAAAGUGUCCUGGCAGUGAUAUUUUAGCUGCCAUGGAUGCAGCUAUAGAUGAUGGAGUAGAUAUUCUUUCAAUCUCCCUUGGUGGAUCUCUGAGCCCUCUUUAUGAUGAAACUAUUGCUCUCGGGGCGUACAGUACAACACAAAGAGGCAUUCUUGUUAGUUGUUCUGCCGGAAAUAGUGGUCCAUCACCUGCCUCAGUAGAUAACUCAGCCCCUUGGAUUCUUACAGUAGGUGCCAGCACGCUUGAUAGAAAGAUAAAAGCUACUGUUAAGCUUGGAAAUGGAGAGGAAUUUGAAGGAGAAUCUGCUUAUCAUCCAAAGACUUCAAACGCAACAUUCUUCACUCUAUUUGAUGCUGCAAAAAAUGCAAAAGAUCCAUCCGAAACACCUUAUUGCAGACGAGGGUCACUCACUGACCCUGCUAUAAGAGGAAAGAUAGUAUUAUGCUUAGCAUUCGGCGGUGUUGCCAAUGUUGAUAAAGGACAAGCUGUGAAGGAUGCUGGAGGUGUUGGCAUGAUUGUCAUCAACCCAUCACAA